UACGUCGGGGGCAAGCGUUGUCAGGAAUUAUUGGGCGUAAAGCGCGCGCAGGUGGUUUCUUAAGUCUGAUGUGAAAGCCCACGGCUCAACCGUGGAGGGUCAUUGGAAACUGGGGAACUUGAGUGCAGAAGAGGAAAGUGGAUGACCAAGUGUAGCGGUGAAAUGCGUAGAUAUUUGGAGGAACACCAGUGGCGAAGGCGACUUUCUGGUCUGUAACUGACACUGAGGCGCGAAAGCGUGGGGAGCAAACAGG
This 253-nucleotide ribosomal RNA is filed under the name uncultured bacterium. Its description in RNAcentral is "partial 16S ribosomal RNA". It matches the Rfam family "Bacterial small subunit ribosomal RNA", at positions 524 to 776 of the family's 1533-position model. The record is from RNAcentral.